Non-coding RNA from Mycena latifolia, 93 nucleotides. Lineage: Eukaryota; Fungi; Basidiomycota; Agaricomycetes; Agaricales; Mycenaceae. The record is from the annotation of a GenBank genome assembly.
GGCCUGAUAGCACAACGGUUAGUGCAUCUGCUGUAAGUAUCCAUGGCGUCGCACUUUCUGCAGAAAACUCCCGUUCGACUCGGGGUCAGGCCA